GUGUCAGCAGCCGCGGUAAUACAGAGGGUGCAAGCGUUAAUCGGAUUUACUGGGCGUAAAGCGUGCGUAGGCGGUUCAUUAAGUCGGUUGUGAAAUCCCUGGGCUUAACCUGGGAACUGCAGUCGAUACUGGUGAACUAGAGUGCGGUAGAGGGUGGCGGAACUCCGGGUGUAGCGGUGAAAUGCGUAGAUAUCCGGAAGAACACCGAUGGCGAAGGCAACCACCUGGGCCUGCACUGACGCUGAGGUACGAAAGCGUGGGGAGCAAACAGGAUUAGAAACCCCGGUAGUCC
Molecule: ribosomal RNA, 292 nt
Filed under: uncultured bacterium
Lineage: Bacteria
Description: partial 16S ribosomal RNA
Rfam family: Bacterial small subunit ribosomal RNA
Source: RNAcentral